UGACAUUAUGACGUAGGUGCAAAACCUUAAUAAGCGCUCGCUCAUGACAGAAUCUUAGGGGUAACAACUAGGGGUAACUGAGUUUGGUUCGCGAGAAGAAGAUAACGGUAGAAAACGGACAAGACGAAGCAGAACUAACGACAAGGGAAACAUUGUUAAACAAUAUAUUAGUAGUAAGCCUAGUUCCAGUUGGUAUAGCGGAAUAAUAGGCUAUAGACUACGUUUGUUUACUUUCCGAUCGUCGUUAGUGUGUUCAGUGUCAGUAACAAAGUUGCCGUUGUAGCUACGUUGGUCAGCUGGCUCCCGUAGCUUCUAGUCUAAAGUGAACAUCGACGAGGGAUUCGUAUUAGGCUACUUUAAGCUGCAGUCUUUUUAGGCCUAUGUAAAAAGAGCUACUGGACACGGACUAACAGUUACAUAUCGAUUUAGUUUCCUAGAAAGUAAGCAACAGUUUAUCGUUCACCGGCUAGCUAUUAGCUCAUCUAAGGAAACAGAAGAGUCCCACCGUAUCCCUGGCAACCACAGGAGUAGUCUCUCUCCCCCCUGCCAUCCAUCCCUGACGUCCACGAGUGACUCAUCUCCCUUCUCUUCGGUUCACGGGGCGGCAUCUAAGAAUAGAGGGGUAAUAUCUGGAAUCCCAAUAUCAGUGACAAUAGAAGAAGUCAUUGAAAGUUUAAAAGAACAUGGUGUUACAGAAGCUAAACGACUGAUAAAAGAGCAAACGACCUGGAGAUCAACUGAUAAUCAUCAAAUAAGAUCAUUCAGUAGAGAGAAUCAAAGGAGUCAUAAG
Molecule: long non-coding RNA, 790 nt
Organism: Alosa alosa (allis shad)
Lineage: Eukaryota; Metazoa; Chordata; Actinopteri; Clupeiformes; Clupeidae
Exons: 3
Source: RefSeq, a predicted model, not a curated record